Zalophus californianus (California sea lion) is the source of this 477-nucleotide long non-coding RNA. RefSeq lists it as uncharacterized. NCBI's taxonomy places the organism in Eukaryota, Metazoa, Chordata, Mammalia, Carnivora, Otariidae. The transcript has 3 exons. The record is from RefSeq and is a predicted model, not a curated record.
GUGCCAGAUGCCCCUGUACUUGGGCUCUGUCUGGAUCUUGACCUGUGAGAGAAGCGGACUUCAGGAAGGGGUGGCUCCAGGCCGACGGCAAGGAGGCAGCAGUGAACCCGACCAGCUCCCGCUGAGAAUAGACCCACACUUCUUGUCCACACCGUGUCUCAUCAACCCUGAGCGUGCUGAUGCAGAGAAGGAAACUGAGUCUCAGCCAAGCUGCUAGCAGUUUCUCCUUCCGCGUCUUGGCCCAGCCAUGCCUUGUUCCGAAAGCCAGGGAUGCGUUUUGGGAGCGCCUCUGUUUCGACACUUGCUGUGCUCUGCCUCCAAACCAGGCAGCUCUUGUCCUGAAGCCUGUGACGGGUCUGUCUGCCUUUCAGCGGCCAGGUGCGUGUGAAGGAGAGGCACAGACCCAACGAAGGCCAUGAGGGAAGGGCAGAGGGAGAGAGAGAGAAUCUCAAGCAGGCUCCACGCCCAGCGCAGAGC